AAAAAAGGUAAAUCAAAGAAGCUUCGGACAACAGGUACAAGUGAGGGAGCAUCUAAUAAUGGUAGCAUGAAUUCAGAAACUAGUUCUGGUACUGAAGAUAUCGACAAUGAUGGAGUUAACUCUGGCGUUGAGGCUGAGACACCAUCCUCUACCGGAACUGCUCAACCGGAGAAACCUGUGAUUGUUUAUUCUGGUGUGCCAAGGGACAAACCUCCAGGUUUAGCAG
This 226-nucleotide unclassified non-coding RNA is filed under the name Hevea brasiliensis (rubber tree). Lineage: Eukaryota; Viridiplantae; Streptophyta; Magnoliopsida; Malpighiales; Euphorbiaceae. The record is from RNAcentral.